RNAcentral lists this ribosomal RNA (492 nucleotides) under uncultured bacterium. Its description in RNAcentral is "partial 16S ribosomal RNA". It matches the Rfam family "Bacterial small subunit ribosomal RNA", at positions 29 to 507 of the family's 1533-position model. The record is from RNAcentral.
AGUGAACGCUGGCGGUAGGCCUAACACAUGCAAGUCGAACGGCAGCACAGUAAGAGCUUGCUCUUACGGGUGGCGAGUGGCGGACGGGUGAGGAAUACAUCGGAAUCUACUUUUUCGUGGGGGAUAACGUAGGGAAACUUACGCUAAUACCGCAUACGACCUACGGGUGAAAGCAGGGGAUCUUCGGACCUUGCGCGAUUGAAUGAGCCGAUGUCGGAUUGGCUAGUUGGCGGGGUAAAGGCCCACCAAGGCGACGAUCCGUAGCUGGUCUGAGAGGAUGGCAGCCAACAUGGGACUUGGACAACGGUCAAGACCCUUACGGGAGGAACCAGUGGGGAAUUUUGAACAUGGGCCGCAAGCUGGACCCAGCAAUACCGGGGGGGGAAAGAAAGCCUCCGGGUGGUAAGGCCUUUUUUUUGGGAAAGAAAAGAAGAAGGUUAAACCCCUGCUGUUCUGACGGUACCCAAAGAAUAAGCACCGGCUAACUUCGUG